UGUGAGCACAAGCUAUAGAAUGGCCUGGA
This 29-nucleotide non-coding RNA is filed under the name Mus musculus (house mouse). Lineage: Eukaryota; Metazoa; Chordata; Mammalia; Rodentia; Muridae. The record is from RNAcentral.